This is a long non-coding RNA of Bos taurus (domestic cattle), 992 nucleotides long. Lineage: Eukaryota; Metazoa; Chordata; Mammalia; Artiodactyla; Bovidae. The record is from Ensembl.
AAGCCCUGGAGGCUCAGGUUCUCCUGUUGGGUCCUGUGGUCUUGCAUUGCUUUGCUGCUUAGUCACUCAGUCGUGUUCAAUCAUUUACAACCCCAAGGACUGUCGCCUGCCAGGCUCCUCAGUCCAUGGGCUUCUCCAGGCAAGAACACUGGAGUGGGUUGCCGUUUUCUCCUCCAGGGAAUCUUCCUGACCCUGGGACUGAACCUGCAUCUCCUGUGGCUCCUGCAUUGCAGGAAGAGUUCCCAUGUACAGGAACAGACUGACCGUCCCCAUGUAAUCCACAUUUCAAUACUGCAUCUUGUCAGCACAAAGGAAUGAAUCCCUAAUGGGGAUCUUCCCAACUCAGGGAUCAAACCCAUGUCUCUUGUGUCUCCUGCAUUGGCAGUCAUUGAGCCGCCAGGGAAGCCUACGUGUAUGGCCCUGAAACAAUUUGCUUAAAGUGAUAGUUACCUCUAAUGAAAAGAUACAUAACGGAAAAUGUCAGCAACCUUUUAAAUCCUCCACAACUUAUCAUGAAGACCGUCUUGUGCAAAGUGCUCGUGGUGAAGCAACUUCUUUUGUCUCCGAUUCCUCCUAAAUUAGGUGGAUUCUUUACCAGCUGACCUACCAUGGAGAGAAAUUGCAGCUUGCCCUCCGUCUCCUAUUGCUGAUGAUCCUUCAGUUCUACCAUCUCCCGGUUCCUGUCCCUCCUCUAGUCUGUAACUCUUCUUGCCUGUUCAGCCCCUUAUUACCAGCAGUUGUACUGUACUACUGUACUUUUCAGGGUACUGUACGAUUAAAAUGUUUUAAUUUUUUGUUCAUUUUAAUGUAUUAUUUGCAUGAAAAGCAUUGUACACCUAUUACAGAACAGUACUAUAUAGCCACUUGUGUUAGUUGGGAACCCAGGCUAAGUUUGUUGGACUUAAUGAUCAAACCAGACUCACUAACCCUCUCUCUGAAUGGAACUCUUUCAUAUGUAGGGGACUCACUGUAUUUGCAAAGAUAUGGGCAGG